GCUAGAGCUCCAAGGACCCCACGCCUGUGUCUCUGUGACAGAGCUCAAAGGGCCCUGGGCCUUCCCUCCCUGGCUCGGCUGUGCUUGGGAGGGUUCCCCAGUCCAGAAUCCCUAAGGAGCAUGGGGCAGCUGAUCCAUCCCUGGUGUACAAACUGCUGACUGCAGACAGAUGCUGAGCUACCCAAACCAACACCUAGCCUCUCCCUGAAGAUCCUCCCAGGCUGAGAGAGUUCUGGGUGUCCUAGGACCAAGGACACUGGCAGACUUCCAGAAGGGCCCCCAAAGCCCUAACCUGUCCAGCCAGAGCAUGCGUCUCAGCAGAGCUGUCUUCCCAAGCCUUUGAUGACAAACCAAUUUCCCUCGAUGAUGUGCUUCUGAGUGCUCUGCUGAGGAACAAUGGGAAGUCUGCCCAGCAGAAGAAAAUCUCUGCCAAGCCCAAGCUUGAGUUCCUCUGUCCAAGGCCAGGGACCUGUGACCAUGGAAGCAGAAAAUGCUGACAAGCAAACACUGAUGAGCCAAGACAAUUCAG
Molecule: long non-coding RNA, 529 nt
Filed under: Homo sapiens (human)
Lineage: Eukaryota; Metazoa; Chordata; Mammalia; Primates; Hominidae
Description: HSALNT0266770
Source: RNAcentral